RNAcentral lists this ribosomal RNA (353 nucleotides) under uncultured methanogenic archaeon. RNAcentral's name for it is "bacterial SSU rRNA". It matches the Rfam family "Archaeal small subunit ribosomal RNA", at positions 1029 to 1381 of the family's 1478-position model. Lineage: Archaea; Methanobacteriati; Methanobacteriota. The record is from RNAcentral.
UUAAGUCAGGCAACGAGCGAGACCCACGCCAACAGUUGCUAGCUCGUCCUCCGGGAUGGAGAGGACACUGUUGGGACCGCCUCUGCUAAAGAGGAGGAAGGAAUGGGCAACGGUAGGUCAGCAUGCCCCGAAUUGUCCGGGCUACACGCGGGCUACAAUGGGUGGGACAAUGGGUAUCGACACCGAAAGGUGAAGGCAAUCUCCUAAACCCAUCCUUAGUUCGGAUUGUGGGCUGCAACUCGCCCACAUGAAGCUGGAAUCCGUAGUAAUCGUGUUUCAAAAUAGCACGGUGAAUAUGUCCCUGCUCCUUGCACACACCGCCCGUCAAACCACCCGAGUGAGGUCUUGAUGAG